This 2551-nucleotide small RNA is filed under the name Pan troglodytes (chimpanzee). RNAcentral describes it as "retained intron". The record is from RNAcentral. Lineage: Eukaryota; Metazoa; Chordata; Mammalia; Primates; Hominidae.
UUACAGUGGUUUCCUAUUCUAAUAACAUCCAAACUCCUUAAUAUGGCACAUAGCACCCUUCGUAAUCUAUUUUUGGCCUAAAAUGGUAGCUCAUUUUUCUGGGUUUCAUUUUCUCCGUCUCUACGGACUCCUUCCACAUGGAAUUUGUAAUUAUUGGAAGAAUUUAUGAUACUAAUGCAAUGAUCUCUUAAUAGGUUCAAUCUUGUUCAGCGAACAGCACAAGCUUGCACAGCUCUGGCCUUUAAUCUUCGUAGGAAAUCUGAAUUCCUUGUGGCAUUAGCUGAUUAUUCUAUUAAAUGUUUUGAUACAGGUAAGAAGUUCUCCUAUUUUUCUUUUGAAGCAGAGUAAAAUAUAGACUGAAGAACUGCAAGAACUUUAUCACUCUGUACAGCUUGAGGGAGCAGUACCCAUGACAGCCCUCCCUUCAGACACUAGGUGCAAGCUGGGGGUCCUAGAAACAGCCUCACUUUAGAUCAGUUGACUACAAAGUCAGGGUUUCCUGACUACUGUCAGGUUUGAUAAUUUACUAGAACAACUCACAGAACUCAGGAAAGCACUACACUUAAUGAUGACAGUUUUAAUAUAACAAAAGGGUACAAAGUAUAACUAGCCAAAGGAAGAGAAACAUGGGGUGGAAUUUGGGAGGCUUCCAAAAGGGAAGCCUCCAUUGUCCUCAGGGACGCGUUGCCCUCUCAGAUGACCCUCCCAGCAUUGGUGUGUGGCUGGCCAUCUGCGCCAAGCACUGCUGACACAGGGAGUCGACCCAAGCUUUGGUGUUUUUGGUGUUUUCCCUACCAAGCUGUUUUCUCUGCUUACAAAGAUACACACAAGUACAUCAGAAUCAAGUUUAAAAACCAAAUGUAUUAUCAGUAUCUCACAUUGAUAAACCUGUUCCUCAUGUAUUUAUUAUUUUUUUUAUUUUUUAUUUUUUUAGAGAUAGGGUUUUGUCAUGUUGCCCAGGUUGGUCUCAAACUCCUAGGCUGAAGUGAUUCACCUGCCUCAGCCUCCCAAAGUGCUGAGAUUACAGGCGUGAGCCACCACCCGGCCCCUCCUCAUGUAUUUCCUACAUCCACUAACAGUAUCACCAUCUGCUUAAAUAACUAAGCUGGAACCACUGGAGCCUUCACUUCUCUUAUAUCUCAGGACAUCAAUUUGAUCACUAAUAUUUUUUGUUUUUCUCCUUAGUAGCUCUUGGAUUUGUUCUUUUCUCCAUUGCCUCUUUCUUAGUUGAGGCCCUCCAUAUCUCCUGCCUGAAUUAUUACAGCAACAUAUAAAUUAGUCUUUCUUGUUCAAUCUCUUCCCCUCCACCAGAUAUCCUCAAAGUGCUCUUUCUAAAACACAGACUAGAUAUGGUACUCUUUUACAUAAAAUUACCUGCAAGAGAAAGCCCAAACUCACUAGCAUCAAUUUUGAAGUUAUUCUUCAUCAAAGCCUUUGUCAGCCUUGUCUCCUACAUGAAUGAGAUGUUGCUAACAUGUCCCAUCAUACACUUUAUCAACUAGACACAAGCUUCCAUUUUUGUGGAUAUUAAUGGAGGUGCCUCAUAUAAUACCUAACCACCCAUUGGAUCAGUUCAUCUAUGGUGUUUAUAUGUAAUGUUACUUCUAGACAUACAGUGUUUUACCUGGGUAACAAUUUUACUUUUUACCACAGUCACCAAAGAGCUAGUUAGCUGGAUGAGAGGACAUGAAUCAUCAGUAUUUUCGAUCUCUGUGCAUGCAUCAGGGAAAUAUGCCAUCACAACUUCUUCUGAUACAGCACAAUUAUGGGACUUGGAUACCUUUCAGAGAAAAAGAAAGCUGAAUAUUCGCCAGUCUGUGGGUAUACAGAAGGUUUUCUUUCUACCAUUAAGUAAUACCAUCCUCAGCUGUUUUAAAGAUAAUUCCAUUUUUGCCUGGGAAUGUGACACACUUUUUUGCAAAUAUCAAUUGCCAGCUCCACCUGAAAGCUCUAGUAUAUUAUACAAAGUGUUUGCUGUAACCAGAGAUGGCCGAAUCCUGGCUGCUGGAGGCAAGUCAAAUCAUCUUCAUUUGUGGUGCUUGGAAGCUAGGCAGCUCUUUAGAAUUAUCCAGAUGCCCACUAAAGUUCGAGCCAUUCGCCAUCUAGAAUUUCUUCCUGAUAGUUUUGAUGCUGGUUCUAAUCAGGUUAGUAACAUAAAUGUAGGGCACUGUACUUUUUGAGAAAGAACGCAUCCGUCUCUGAACUAUAUUAUAUCUUAUUUAUUUAACUUACACCCUGGCUGUUACAAGAAUUUGAAAUUACAAAUAUGUUAUUUUUGUGAAGAGUCUAGGAUUGAAAAAAAUUUCAAAAUCUUGUAUUCUUUAUACUAUUGACAGUUUGCUCUUUUUAUAAAAUCAACAUACUGUAAAUUUAUAUUGUACUUUAUGGUUUGCAGUGUGCUUUAGCAUGCAAUUUUUCAUUUGAUCCUUAAUUCUUUGGCAUAGGCAGGAAAGAUAUUCUCCCCAUUUUACAGAUUAUAACACUAACGACAAGAAACAUUGACUCGUCAACAUUCCUGUUAAUUGUAAGGAUUAAAGAUUGGACUAGAACU